UCUUCAGGAAAUUCGAAACCCUUCGACUGCGUAGCGAAGUUUAGAGGUCGUCGUAGUCGAGGGUAAGCUUUUGAUACGUCCUAGUGCAGUUUUUUCUAUUGAAAUUAAGCGUUUGGUUUCAUUGUAUUCGAGUGGUCACUCAAUUGGAAUUGAGAAAUUGAGUUUGAUUGUGGGAAAUUGAUUGCCGAUUUUAGGUACUGUUCAC
RNAcentral lists this long non-coding RNA (205 nucleotides) under Gossypium raimondii (Peruvian cotton). RNAcentral describes it as "long non-coding RNA (GRAI_LNC000431)". The record is from RNAcentral. Lineage: Eukaryota; Viridiplantae; Streptophyta; Magnoliopsida; Malvales; Malvaceae.